GUGUCUGGUCUAAAACACAGAGGCCAGGCAUGAUGGCAUGUGCCUGUAGUCCCAACACUGAGGAGGCUGAGGCAGGAGGA
Molecule: microRNA precursor, 80 nt
Filed under: Cricetulus griseus (Chinese hamster)
Lineage: Eukaryota; Metazoa; Chordata; Mammalia; Rodentia; Cricetidae
Description: miRNA (ENSCGRG00001004113.1)
Source: RNAcentral